CCUACGGGGAGCAGCAGUCGAGAAUCAUUCACAAUGGGGGAAACCCUGAUGGUGCGACGCCGCGUGGGGGAAUGAAGGUCUUCGGAUUGUAAACCCCUGUCAUGUGGGAGCAAAUUAAAAAGAUAGUACCACAAGAGGAAGAGACGGCUAACUCUGUGCCAGCAGCCGCGGUAAUACAGAGGUCUCAAGCGUUGUUCGGAAUCACUGGGCGUAAGGCGUGCGUAGGCUGUUUCGUAAGUCGUGUGUGAAAGGCGCGGGCUCAACCCGCGGACGGCACAUGAUACUGCGAGACUAGAGUAAUGGAGGGGGAACCGGAAUUCUCGGUGUAGCAGUGAAAUGCGUAGAUAUCGAGAGGAACACUCGUGGCGAAGGCGGGUUCCUGGACAUUAACUGACGCUGAGGCACGAAGGCCAGGGGAGCGAAAGGGAUUAGAUACCCGAGUAGUC
This 446-nucleotide ribosomal RNA is filed under the name uncultured bacterium. Its description in RNAcentral is "partial 16S ribosomal RNA". It matches the Rfam family "Bacterial small subunit ribosomal RNA", at positions 338 to 795 of the family's 1533-position model. The record is from RNAcentral.